UAUUCCUUGGUUACAAUAAUCACAUUAUUUCCCUCCUUCCCCUCCACCCACUCUUCCCGCAGCCAAUUUCAUUGGGUAUUACAUGUUGUUGUUUACACUAGGAUGUUCAUUUAGAGUCUACAUCCCCAACCAUAUCCCUUCGACCCAUGUAUUCAAGCAAUUGUUUUUCUUCUGUAUUUUUACUCCCACUGUAUUUCCUCUGGAUGUGGAUAGUGGUUUUUCUCCUAGAUCCCUGCAUAUUGUUCAGGGACAUUACACUGCUACUAAUGGAGAAGUCCAUUACCUUCAAUUGUACCACAGUGUAUCAGUCUCUGUGUACAAUGUUUUCCUGGUUCUGCUCCUUUCACUCUGCAUCACUUCCUGGAGGUUGUUCCAGUUCCCAUGGAAUUCCUCCACUUUAUUAUUCCUUUGAGCACAAAUUAACAAGCAUUUAUGCUUUGAUGUUCCCGGUAUUAUACUAAAAUCUGGGAUUCCAAAGCAAGGCAAAAUUCGUUUAUCUUUUUUUGUCUUUGAUCAAGAAAUGGAAACUGUGGACAGUAAUAGAGGACUGAGGAUCCUCCAGGAAGGCUUCAAAUUCUUGAACCCUGAGUAUCUGAACCCAAUCUUAGAGACUCAUUUUAGUUUCACAUACUGGCAACCCCAUGGUCCUAGGAGAGGGAGGCCCCAGGUCAAGGAGUAUAAGGUCUUGAGCUCCAGUCUUCUAAGGAUAGAAUGGGAUUUCCUGAAACGUACCAGCCUCCUAGCAACCUCACCUGGGAGAGCUCUAAGAGCCAAACUUCUAGAGAGAAAAGAUUUAAGGUGGACAAAGAAAUGAAUCUUUAUGCCUCCAGGCAGACCCCAGUCAGAAGACCACCCCACCCCAGGACCUAGCAUCUAAAGAAUAUAUAAACCCCAGAACUGAUGUCGUCUGGGGGACAGCCUCUCCAUUCAUGCUGUCCCCAGGGGGGAACAGCCUUUCCUUUCAUGCUGUCCUCCCAAGGAACUGCUCUCCAUCUUGCUGUUCUACCUUGCUAUCCCCCUGGCCACGCUCAACAUUACUUUCUAAAUUAAUAAAUCUCUUUUUGUUUUUAA
Molecule: long non-coding RNA, 1071 nt
Organism: Monodelphis domestica (gray short-tailed opossum)
Lineage: Eukaryota; Metazoa; Chordata; Mammalia; Didelphimorphia; Didelphidae
Source: RefSeq, a predicted model, not a curated record